Molecule: ribosomal RNA, 236 nt
Filed under: uncultured bacterium
Lineage: Bacteria
Description: partial 16S ribosomal RNA
Rfam family: Bacterial small subunit ribosomal RNA
Source: RNAcentral
GAUCCUGGCUCAGGAUGAACGCUGGCGGCGUGCUUAACACAUGCAAGUCGAACGAAGCACUUAAGAUUGACUCUUCGGAUGAUUUCUUUGUGACUUAGUGGCGGACGGGUGAGUAACGCGUGGGUAACCUGCCUCACACAGGGGGAUAACAGUUAGAAAUGACUGCUAAUACCGCAUAACCCGAUAGGAUCGCAUGAUCCAGACUGAAAAAGAUUUAUCGGUGUGAGAUGGAUCCG